AGAGUUUGAUCAUGGCUCAGGAUGAACGCUGGCGGCGUGCCUAAUACAUGCAAGUCGAACGAAGUCUUCGGACUUAGUGGCGAACGGGUGAGUAACACGUUGGUACCUACCCCUAAGUGGGGAAUAACUGCCCGAAAGGGUGGCUAAUACCGCAUAAUCCCGCAAGGGUAAAGCAGUAAUGCGCUUAGGGAGGGGCCUGCGUCUGAUUAGCUAGUUGGUAGUGUAAUGGACUACCAAGGCGACGAUCAGUAGCUGGAUCGAGAGGUUGACCAGCCACACUGGGACUGAGAUACGGCCCAGACUCCUACGGGAGGCAGCAGUAAGGAAUCUUCCACAAUGGACGAAAGUCUGAUGGAGCAACGCCGCGUGCAGGAUGACGGCCUUCGGGUUGUAAACUGCUUUUAUAUGGGAAGAUUAUGACGGUACCAUAUGAAUAAGGACCGGCUAACUACGUGCCAGCAGCCGCGGUAAUACGUAGGGUCCAAGCGUUAUCCGGAAUCACUGGGCGUAAAGCGUGCGUAGGUGGCGUGUUAAGUGUGGUGUUAAAUCGUGGGGCUCAACCCUGUCGAUGCAUCGCAUACUGGCAUGCUAGAGGGAAGCAGAGGCAAGUGGAAUUUGUAGUGUAGCAGUGAAAUGCGUAGAUAUUACAAGGAACACCAAUGGCGAAGGCGCUUGCUGGGCUUCUUCUGACACUGAGGUACGAAAGCGUGGGGAGCGAACAGGAUUAGAUACCCUAGUAGUCC
This 743-nucleotide ribosomal RNA is filed under the name uncultured bacterium. RNAcentral describes it as "bacterial SSU rRNA". It matches the Rfam family "Bacterial small subunit ribosomal RNA", at positions 8 to 796 of the family's 1533-position model. The record is from RNAcentral.